This 253-nucleotide ribosomal RNA is filed under the name uncultured bacterium. RNAcentral's name for it is "partial 16S ribosomal RNA". It matches the Rfam family "Bacterial small subunit ribosomal RNA", at positions 524 to 776 of the family's 1533-position model. The record is from RNAcentral.
UACGUAGGGUGCGAGCGUUGUCCGGAAUUAUUGGGCGUAAAGGGCUCGUAGGCGGUUUGUCGCGUCGGGAGUGAAAACCCAGGGCUUAACCCUGGGCUGGCUUCCGAUACGGGCAGACUAGAGGUAUGCAGGGGAGAACGGAAUUCCUGGUGUAGCGGUGAAAUGCGCAGAUAUCAGGAGGAACACCGGUGGCGAAGGCGGUUCUCUGGGCAUUACCUGACGCUGAGGAGCGAAAGCAUGGGUAGCGAACAGG